UCCCUAGUGGCUUAGCAGUAAAAGAAUCUGCCUGCAAUGCAGGAGACUCGGGCUCAAUCCCUGAGUAGGGAA
This 72-nucleotide transfer RNA is filed under the name Capra hircus (goat). It matches the Rfam family "tRNA". Rfam says of the family: Transfer RNA (tRNA) molecules are approximately 80 nucleotides in length. Their secondary structure includes four short double-helical elements and three loops (D, anti-codon, and T loops). Lineage: Eukaryota; Metazoa; Chordata; Mammalia; Artiodactyla; Bovidae. RNAcentral also lists the same sequence under 1 other name. The record is from Rfam by way of RNAcentral.